GUUAUAUCUUUGUUUACUAAUCACCACUAAACACUAAAAGAAGAGGAAUUUGUCGCUUUAUUGUGUCUGUAGUCUUCGACUGGUAAAUGGCUGCAUAGAAACCAUCACAAUGCCCCCCCAAGAGGUGCAGGUUUUUUCUGCUUGGUGGCUGAUGCUCAUACCCAGAGGGAGCUGCUUGGAGCAACCCGAAAAUGAGAAGGUUUACCAGGUGGUCUCCAAGCUGAUGGCUGCUCAGGGGUCCAACGGACUUCUAAACAAUGUAGAAAGAAACUUUUUAAAAUACUGAAAUACUAGUCACUACUGGACCAUCAAAGACUGAAAAGGCUGGAGUGGGUCCAACUGGAAGGACUGGAAGUUCGUCAAAUGGACACUUUCCAGGCAAUUCGGCCACUAGAUGUUUUGAUAGCUGAUGAAUCCACCUCCGUCAUGGACCCGAGCUCCUCUCCUCCGCCCCAGCUGCAGCUACCAAACCGACUCCAGUACCAUGUGCAGCAUCGACCACGGCGGACGCUUCCGAGCUGACAGCAACGGUCCCAUUCCCUAAUUUGGUUUGAAUGUAUUUUUGCACAGUGUACAGGUCUAAGGAAUUUGCUCCUGACUUUAAUAAAUCAUUCAGUGAACGUUA
This is a long non-coding RNA of Melanotaenia boesemani (Boeseman's rainbowfish), 625 nucleotides long. RefSeq lists it as uncharacterized. The transcript is spliced from 2 exons. The record is from RefSeq and is a predicted model, not a curated record. NCBI's taxonomy places the organism in Eukaryota, Metazoa, Chordata, Actinopteri, Atheriniformes, Melanotaeniidae.